Molecule: non-coding RNA, 122 nt
Organism: Picea glauca (white spruce)
Lineage: Eukaryota; Viridiplantae; Streptophyta; Pinopsida; Pinales; Pinaceae
Source: Rfam
UUAUGUACACGCCUAUAACAUUAAUUCACUGGAUCCCAUUAGAACUUCGUAAUUAAGCGCGCUCGGGCUAGAGUAGUACUAGGAUGGGUGACCUACCGAUAAGUCCUAGUGUUUUACAUACC